ACGGAGGGUCCAAGCGUUAUCCGGAUUUAUUGGGUUUAAAGGGUCCGUAGGUGGGAUAAUAAGUCAGUGGUGAAAUCUCUCGGCUUAACCGAGAAACUGCCAUUGAUACUGUUGUCCUUGAGUUUACGUGAAGUGGGCGGAAUGUGACAUGUAGCGGUGAAAUGCAUAGAUAUGUCACAGAACACCGAUUGCGAAGGCAGCUCACUAAAGUAAUACUGACACUGAUGGACGAAAGCGUGGGGAGCGAACAGG
RNAcentral lists this ribosomal RNA (252 nucleotides) under uncultured bacterium. RNAcentral describes it as "partial 16S ribosomal RNA". It matches the Rfam family "Bacterial small subunit ribosomal RNA", at positions 525 to 776 of the family's 1533-position model. The record is from RNAcentral.